This 497-nucleotide ribosomal RNA is filed under the name uncultured bacterium. Its description in RNAcentral is "partial 16S ribosomal RNA". It matches the Rfam family "Bacterial small subunit ribosomal RNA", at positions 28 to 507 of the family's 1533-position model. The record is from RNAcentral.
GAUGAACGCUGGCGGCGUGCCUAAUACAUGCAAGUCGAGCGAACAGACGAGGAGCUUGCUCCUCUGACGUUAGCGGCGGACGGGUGAGUAACACGUGGAUAACCUACCUAUAAGACUGGGAUAACUUCGGGAAACCGGAGCUAAUACCGGAUAAUAUAUUGAACCGCAUGGUUCAAUAGUGAAAUACGGUUUUGCUGUCACUUAUAGAUGGAUCCGCGCCGCAUUAGCUAGUUGGUAAGGUAACGGCUUACCAAGGCAACGAUGCGUAGCCGACCUGAGAGGGUGAUCGGCCACACUGGAACUGAGACACGGUCCAGACUACUACGGGAGGCAGCAGUAGGGAAUCUUCCGCAAUGGGCGAAAGCCUGACGGAGCAACGCCGCGUGAGUGAUGAAGGUCUUCGGAUCGUAAAACUCUGUUAUUAGGGAAGAACAAAUGUGUAAGUAACUAUGCACGUCUUGACGGUACCUAAUCAGAAAGCCACGGCUAACUACGUG